This 497-nucleotide ribosomal RNA is filed under the name uncultured bacterium. RNAcentral describes it as "partial 16S ribosomal RNA". It matches the Rfam family "Bacterial small subunit ribosomal RNA", at positions 28 to 507 of the family's 1533-position model. The record is from RNAcentral.
GAUGAACGCUGGCGGCGUGCCUAAUACAUGCCAGUCGAGCGAACAGAUGAGGAGCUUGCUCCUCUGACGUUAGCGGCGGACGGGUGAGUAACACGUGGAUAACCUACCUAUAAGACUGGGAUAACUUCGGGAAACCGGAGCUAAUACCGGAUAAUAUAUUGAACCGCAUGGUUCAAUAGUGAAAGACGGUUUUGCUGUCACUUAUAGAUGGAUCCGCGCCGCAUUAGCUAGUUGGUAAGGUAACGGCUUACCAAGGCGACGAUGCGUAGCCGACCUGAGAGGGUGAUCGGCCACACUGGAACUGAGACACGGUCCAGACUCCUACGGGAGGCAGCAGUAGGGAAUCUUCCGCAAUGGGCGAAAGCUUGACGGAGCAACGCCGCGUGAGUGAUGAAGGUCUUCGGAUCGUAAAACUCUGUUAAUAGGGAAGAACAAAUGUGUAAGUAACUAUGCACGUCUUGACGGUACCUAAUCAGAAAGCCACGGCUAACUACGUG